Herpailurus yagouaroundi (jaguarundi) is the source of this 157-nucleotide long non-coding RNA. RefSeq lists it as uncharacterized. The transcript is spliced from 3 exons. The record is from RefSeq and is a predicted model, not a curated record. NCBI's taxonomy places the organism in Eukaryota, Metazoa, Chordata, Mammalia, Carnivora, Felidae.
GUGCACACACGCACACACACCUUAUUGCCCUACUGACUGUUUCUCUGGAGAACGCUACCCUAGUCCACACCUUAACCUAAAUUAACCUGGCACUCCAAGAUACCUCCUAGGAUAAAACACAAAGACUCAUUAAGUGGGAGGGAUCGAAAGAGCACAC